This 424-nucleotide ribosomal RNA is filed under the name uncultured Kofleriaceae bacterium. RNAcentral describes it as "bacterial SSU rRNA". It matches the Rfam family "Bacterial small subunit ribosomal RNA", at positions 355 to 776 of the family's 1533-position model. Lineage: Bacteria; Pseudomonadati; Myxococcota; Haliangiales; Kofleriaceae. The record is from RNAcentral.
UGGGGAAUAUUGGACAAUGGGCGCAAGCCUGAUCCAGCCACGCCGCGUGAGUGAUGAAGGCCUUCGGGUCGUAAAGCUCUGUGGGGAGGGACGAACGUCCGGGUGAAGAAUCCGGGGUGACGGUACCUCCUUAGCAAGCACCGGCUAACUUCGUGCCAGCAGCCGCGGUAAUACGAAGGGUGCAAACGUUGCUCGGAAUCAUUGGGCGUAAAGCGCACGUAGGCGGCCCUAUAAGUCGGAUGUGAAAUCCCUCGGCUCAACCGAGGACGUGCAUCCGAAACUGUAGGGCUCGAGUAUGGAAGAGGGUCGCGGAAUUCUCGGUGUAGAGGUGAAAUUCGUAGAUAUCGGGAGGAACACCAGUGGCGAAGGCGGCGACCUGGGCCAAUACUGACGCUGAGGUGCGAAAGCGUGGGGAGCAAACAGG